UGUAAGCGUAUACCAAAGUUGUUGCAGUUAAAACGCUCGUAGUCGGACGUUGGCGGGCGUCGCAAGUCGGCCGAAAGGUUGUUCUUGAGGCGGCCGCCUUUGUGGAGGGGGGCUUUGUGGUGCUUUAUUGCCAUCAUGGAGUCGCUGCCACCGUUUACUGUGAAAAAAUUAGAGUGUUCAAAGCGGGCGUUUGCCAUGAAUACAUUAGCAUGGAAUAAUAGAAUAGGACCUGGUCCUGUUUUGUUGGUUUGUGAGUAUCAGGUAAUGAUUAAGAGGGACGGUUGGGGGCAUUUGUAUUCCGACGUUAGAGGUGAAAUUCUUGGAUCGUCGGAAGACAAACAGCUGCGAAAGCGUCUGCCAAGGACGUUUUCAUUGA
This 376-nucleotide ribosomal RNA is filed under the name uncultured eukaryote. Its description in RNAcentral is "partial 18S ribosomal RNA". It matches the Rfam family "Eukaryotic small subunit ribosomal RNA", at positions 592 to 976 of the family's 1831-position model. The record is from RNAcentral.